AUUGAGCGCUGGCGGCAGGCUUAACACAUGCAAGUCGAGCGGGGAAGGUUGCUUCGGUAACUGACCUAGCGGCGGACGGGUGAGUAAUGCUUAGGAAUCUGCCUAUUAGUGGGGGACAACAUUCCGAAAGGGAUGCUAAUACCGCAUACGUCCUACGGGAGAAAGCAGGGGAUCAUUUGACCUUGCGCUAAUAGAUGAGCCUAAGUCGGAUUAGCUAGUUGGUAGGGUAAAGGCCUACCAAGGCGAGGAUCUGUAGCGGGUCUGAGAGGAUGCUCCGCCAAACUGGGAAUGAGACGCGGCCCAGACGCCUGCGGGAGGCAGCAGGGGGGAAUAUUGGACAAUGGGGGGAACCCUGAUCCAGCCAUGCCGCGUGUGUGAAGAAGGCCUUUUGGUUGUAAAGCACUUUAAGCGAGGAGGAGGCUCUCUUGGUUAAUACCUGUGAAGAGUGGACGUUACUCGCAGAAUAAGCACCGGCUAACUCUGUGCCAGCCGCCGCCGUAA
RNAcentral lists this ribosomal RNA (501 nucleotides) under uncultured bacterium. Its description in RNAcentral is "partial 16S ribosomal RNA". It matches the Rfam family "Bacterial small subunit ribosomal RNA", at positions 30 to 523 of the family's 1533-position model. The record is from RNAcentral.